UACGUAGGGUGCGAGCGUUGCCCGGAUUUAUUGGGCGUAAAGGGCGCGUAGGCGGUGAGACACGUUCGUUGUGAAAUCGCCCGGCUCAACUGGGCGGGGUCAGCGGAUACGGUCUCACUUGAGCAAGCUAGGGGGCAAUGGAAUUCCCGGUGUAGUGGUGGAAUGCGUAGAUAUUGGGAAGAACACCGGUGGCGAAGGCGGCGACCUGGUCCAUUACUGACGCUGAGGCGCGACAGCGUGGGGAGCAAACAGG
This 253-nucleotide ribosomal RNA is filed under the name uncultured bacterium. RNAcentral's name for it is "partial 16S ribosomal RNA". It matches the Rfam family "Bacterial small subunit ribosomal RNA", at positions 524 to 776 of the family's 1533-position model. The record is from RNAcentral.